AAGAAGUGGAAUCGGACGAGGAUUUUUUUUAUGAUUGUUGGGAUUCUUAUCUUGAUGGAGUUGAAGAAGUACGGGGACAAAUAAGCCAAGACUUGGAGGAACACGACGGAUGAAGAAGGAGUUGACGAAGUCUAUGCGAGCUAGGAACAUCUUCCCAGUCAGUUGCCUGUAGGGUUAUGGCAGAUGACUUGGGUACUGCGCUGCUGAAGUGAUGUUGCUACUCUGAUGUUUAGUUAGGCCCUUCGAGGCUAUUAUGUAAGUAUUGGUCAUGUGACCAUGUUGUAAUUUUCUUAUUCCGCUUUGUAAUGGAUGGUGUAAUUUGAUAUCGGUUCGGUUAUGUGUUCACGGCGCACUGAUCAUGGGAUCGUGAACUGUAUACAUAACAGGGAAA
This is a long non-coding RNA of Lolium perenne, 391 nucleotides long. RefSeq lists it as uncharacterized. Lineage: Eukaryota; Viridiplantae; Streptophyta; Magnoliopsida; Poales; Poaceae. The record is from RefSeq and is a predicted model, not a curated record.